GCGGACGUGGUGGAAUCGGUAGACACAAGGGACUUAAAAUCCCUCGGCUUCGGCCAUGCGGGUUCGAGUCCCGCCGUCCGCACCA
Molecule: transfer RNA, 85 nt
Filed under: Rhodobium orientis
Lineage: Bacteria; Pseudomonadati; Pseudomonadota; Alphaproteobacteria; Hyphomicrobiales; Rhodobiaceae
Also listed under: 1 other name
Description: tRNA-Leu
Rfam family: tRNA
About the family: Transfer RNA (tRNA) molecules are approximately 80 nucleotides in length. Their secondary structure includes four short double-helical elements and three loops (D, anti-codon, and T loops).
Source: RNAcentral